GCUGAAAUAUCUCAGUUGGUUAGAGCGUGCGUGUGGCUGUUAAUCACAAGGUCGGAGGUUUAAACCCUCCUUUUAGCG
Impatiens glandulifera is the source of this 78-nucleotide non-coding RNA. The record is from the annotation of a RefSeq genome assembly. Lineage: Eukaryota; Viridiplantae; Streptophyta; Magnoliopsida; Ericales; Balsaminaceae.